Molecule: long non-coding RNA, 773 nt
Organism: Bubalus bubalis (water buffalo)
Lineage: Eukaryota; Metazoa; Chordata; Mammalia; Artiodactyla; Bovidae
Exons: 2
Source: RefSeq, a predicted model, not a curated record
GGCAACCCACUGCAGUAUUCUUGCCUGGGAAAUCCUAUGGACAGAGGAGCCAAGCAAGUUACAGUCCACAGGGUCACAAAGACUCAGACACGAAUUAAUGACUCAACAACAACAACAUAUGCUACUUCUCUGGUUUCUGGAGCAUCACUCUGCGUAUAAAUGAACUUUGAGUAAAACACAGCAUCCUGCAUUAAUCUUCAUAAGUCUCAGAAACAAAGGCCCACACCAAAAUAAGUAGCAACAACCAUUCACCAAGAACCAACCCAAGCAUCAAGAACUCCCCUACUCAACAUCAUGAUAGCCAAAACAAAUCACAAGUAGUUUUAUUUUGUGGCUCCUCAGAUGGCACGGAAUUAAAAAGAUUUCUCUGCUGCUUAGGUCAAAAGCCUUCAAUUAUGGACAACCACAAUCUGAAACUGACUGCAUGUAUGUCUGGAGCCCUUACACUGGGCACCGAAGAGAAACCAGCAAAACUUACUGAGUAACUGUUGCACGUUCCUUCGAAGACCACUCUUACUUAUAAUCACCUCUGUGAUUUUAAUGGGGCCCUGAUUUGGGGUAACCUUAAUCCCAAAAUGCAGAACCUGCAGAUCUAGAGGGCCAACUGUGUUUCGCCAUUUUAUAUAAGGGACUGGAGCAUCCUUGGAUUUUAGUGUCUGGGGGUCCUGUAAAUAAUCCCCUGCAGAUACUGAGGGACAACUGUACUUCAUCUUACCACAGUCCUGUGAAAGACAUGUUAUUUUUAUUUCAUUGAUAAGAAAUAAGAGAAUUAA